RNAcentral lists this long non-coding RNA (4484 nucleotides) under Vitis vinifera (wine grape). Its description in RNAcentral is "long non-coding RNA (VVIN_LNC001315)". Lineage: Eukaryota; Viridiplantae; Streptophyta; Magnoliopsida; Vitales; Vitaceae. The record is from RNAcentral.
UCAGGAUCCAAAAUCAAAUGAGAGGGUGCAGUAUAAAUCUGGGGACUCAUUGGGAGAUGAAGCCAUUGCCCUGAGAACUGAGCAAGAGGAGACUCGGGAACUGACAACUGCUAUCCAGGAGCAGGCAUCUAAAGGCUUGGAUCUGAAAUCAACUGAGGAAUCGGAGUAUUCUGCCCAAAACAAGAAGCCAAGAAUCUUGCCCACAACAGAUAGUGUUGCUGGUGAAGAUCCAAUAUCAAAUGAGAAGGCACAGGAUAAGUCUGGAGAUUCAUUGGGUAAUCAAGCUAUUGCCAUGAGAUCUGAGCAAGAGAAGGAGACCAAAGAAGUGACAAAUGCUAUCCAGGAACAAGCAGGUAAAGUCCAUUCUUCUGAUGUUUUGGCUAGUACGGAUCUGAAAUCAACUGAGCAGUCAGAGAAUCCUGUCCAAAACAAGCACCCUAGAAGCUCAUCAAUAACAGAAAGCAGUGCUGAUAAGGAUCCAGAAUUAAAUGAGAAGCUACAGGAUGCAUCAGGGGUUUUGUUGGGGAGUCAAGCCACUGCCAGUAGAAGUGAGCAAGAGAAAGAACUGACAAUUGCUGUCCAGGAGCAAGCAUGUAAUAUUCAUACUUCUGGUGUUUUAGUUGAUAUGGAUCUCAAAUCAACUGAGGGAUCUUAUUGUUCUGCCCAAUAUAAGAUGCCAACAAGCUCACCAACAACACAUGACAGUGCUGGUCAGGAUCCAAAAUCAAAUGAGAAGCUGCCUGAUAAAUCUGGGUAUUUAUUGGAGACUAAAGCCAUUUCCAUGACAAGUGAGCAAGAGAAUGACAGCCAGGAGCUAGAAAGUACUCUCCAGGAGCAAGCAUGUAAAAUCCAUGGUUCUGAUGUUUUAGCUGGUCAGACUCUAGAAUCAACUGAGCAAUUGAAUUAUUCUGCUGAAAACCUGAAGGAAGCUAGCUCAUCAACAACCCAUGAUUGUGCUGCCAGAUUGCUGGAAAAAGUUUCUGUAUGCUUAGAAGUUAGUGAAGUUGAUGCAUCUCUGAAAUCAAAGGAGGAAACUUUGCCUACUGAAAUACAGGCAUGUCAAAACAACGUAGACCAUGCCUUAGAAUCAAUCCAAACUGCUGAUGCAAAUGAUGUUGCUUCUCUGACAAAGAAGGUUACUUCUGAGAUUUGUUCAACUGAGACUAAAUUUGAUGUGUCUUUUGCAAGUGAAAUUGGGGAUGCUCCAACUGUUUCAAAUAAGACCUUGUCUGAGGUGACCAAAAAACAGAGCUUGGAGGAUGAAACAUGUUCAACUAUGCCUACUUUUGUAGCUGCAACUCCAGUAGUUGACCCUCCAGUUGACAAUGAUGAAAACCCAUCUGGUAAAGAAGGUAAUGCAGAAGUAGAAGAGAAUGAAGAUGCUGUUCUGGAUGAAGCCCUUGUUUCAAAGCCUGAGGUUUCUGAAUCUCACAGCAAGGUCUCUGCUGGCUCCACUGGAAAUAUGACAGAUUCGGAAAAGCUUAUUGAUGUAAGCUCCAUCAUGGCGAGUAAUAGGGCAGUGAUUUGCACAGUUCCACUCAGGCUUGAGACGUUGGAAACUUGCUCAUCAGAUGUUAAAGUUGAUGAGUUGUUUGUGCGUGAAGGUGGGGAUGCCCCAAAUUUUCCAGAACCAAGACUAACCUUUACUGAGGUGACCAAGAACGAAAGUCCAAAGGAUGAUAGAAAUUCAACCAUUUUAGCCUUGGAAAAAGAAACUCCAGAUUGGGAUGUUCCAGUUGACAGGCACAAAAAUCAAUCUGGGAAAGAUGGGGAUGGAGAAGAACAAGAAGACAAAGAUCCUCCUCCAGUGGUUGCCCUUGUUUCUGAGACUGAGCCUGAGAUCACUGCUGACUCUGUUGAAAACAUGGCAUUUUCUAGUCAUCUUAUUGAAGAAAACUCAAUCAUGGGGCGCAAUGCUACUAAUGUUGUUUGCAAAGUUUCUCCCCUAGUCUAUUCAUCUGAAACUUGCUCGUCAGAAACUAAAGUUGGUGAGCCUUUUGGGAAUGAUGAUGGAGAUGCCUCAAUUGUGCCUGUAUCAAGUAAGACAGUCAUUGAGGUGAAUAAGAAUGAAAAUUUGGAGGAUAAUUCAUGUUCAACAAUGUCAAUUUCAGAAAGUGAAGCUCCUGUCUUGGACCUUCCAAUUUGCAACCAUGAAAAUCAAUGUGAUGAUGGAGACACCCCAACUGUACCUGUAUCAAGUAAGACUGCUGCUGAGGGGAAUAAGAACCAAAGUUUAGAGGAUAAAAUGCAUUCUACCAUGUCUAGUUUGGAAAAAGCAGCUCCAGUUUUGGACCUCCAAAUUUGUAGUUACGAAAAACAGUGUGUAAAAGAAGGUGAUGCAAAAGAAGAAGAGGAUAAGGAUCCUUUGCUGGACCAGACCAUUGUUUCAGAGGCUAAAGCUUGUGAACUUGAAAGCAAGACAACUGCUGGCUGCAUUGAAACCAUGAUAGUUGCAGAGCAGAUUAUUGAAGAAAAAAGGAGCAUGGAUGAGGUUCCUACGGUUUCUUCCUCUGUUGGGCUAUCUGAAACUUGCUCAUCAGAAACUAAAAUUAGUGAAUCUAUUGGGGCUGAAGGUGGGGAUAACCCAACUCUUACUGUGUCAUGCAAUACCUCUAUUGAGGUGAUCAAAAAUCAAAGUUUGGAGUUGAAAAUAUGUUCAGAAAUCACUUCAGAGGUAGGAGCUCCAGCUUUGGACCUUCCAGCUGAGAACUGUGAAAGCCAAUCUGAGAAGGCGUGUAUUGCAGAGAUAGAAAGAGGCAAUAGUCCUGAUGUAGUUGAUGCCCUUGUCUUAGAGUCCAAGGCUUGUGAACCUGAAAGCAAGAUAACUUCUGGCUCUGUUGAAAACAUGCCAGAAUCAAGUCAACCUAUUGAAAAGAAUUCAAUCUUGGGAAUUAAUGUGGAGACCAUUUGCUCUGAUCCUCUCAUUUCUGGCCAAGUGGAUGAUGUUUCUUGCCAGAAAUCACCUGCUCGUGAUGGCGCUCUGGUUGACUUAUCUGUGAGAGCUUCUAGCAUUCAGAUGGAUUCACCUUUGGUAUCUGAAGAUGCUGCAGAGUUUAAUGAUAUGGCUAAAAAUAAUUUAGGAAACAGAUCAAAGCCUUCAUUGGAAGAGUCUCCAAAAUCUUCUCCUCUAGGUAUCAGAAGCUUUGAUGCACCUAUGAGUUCUGUAAAAACUGAUGAUGUUGGAAGUCCUCCAGUGGAUUCUGUUGUUGGUCUUCUUCCUGUUGAUCCUGAUGAUUCAGGCAUCUGUAAUUUGGAUGGUGGCGUUCCUGAUGAGGAUAAAUUAAGCAUGGUUCCUACUGAAGCUGAUCAAUGCAGCAGUAAAGUUAUGUCUGAAGUUGCAGAAACCGCCCUGGAAGCUGAUAAUAUUGGAGCUAUUCCUGAAGUACCCCCUAUUGAUACUGCAUCAGCGUGUGAGACAGUCACUUCUCAUGAACCUUCUCAAGACAAGUGCAGCCCCAAAUCUCCAUGUGAUGGAAGUGAAGAUAAAGGGAAACUUACAUUAGAGCCUAUGGACUCUACUAUUAAAGUUGGCAACACAGAGCUUGUUUCAAAAGAUGAUGGCGGAGUUCAACCAAUGGCUGGAGUUGAAUUUUCUGAGAGCGAGCAUGAUGGGGCUCACAUUUCAAUUAAACCAAUGGCUGGAGUUGAAUGUUCUGAGAGCGAGCAUGAUGGGGCUCACAAUUCAAAAGAUCUCUCAGAAACACAAGCAUCUUCACCCAAAGUUUUAUUUAAUUCCAAUGAUGGAGUCUCAAAUGAUUUUAAUGCUGAAAUUGCUGAUCCAAUGGAUGUUGGCGGAGUUAUGGUAGAACAAGCCCCUGUAUUGGAACCCAUGCACCCAGUAACUGCCAAGUCUGGCAAUACAGAGUGUGUUCCGAAUGAUGCUGCAAUUGAACCAGUAAUGGGUGUUGAAACUUCCAAAGAUGACACUGACCAAGUCUGCCACAUGGAUGUAAAUUUGGACUCGCCAGAAGUUCCUAAAGCUGAAUUGAAUGAUCCAAUGGAUGUUACUGAGGCUGUAGUUAUGGCUGAAAAUAUAGAUCCGCAGCUGUCUUCGCUGGAGACACAGGUAGAGAAGACCAAGAGCUCAUCUGAAAACGGUCCGGUUGGGAAUUCAUCUUCUUUGGAGAUGCUAGAAGAAAAGAUGGAACCCUCAUCUGAGAAGGGUAUAGUUGAAAGCUCUUCUUCGAUGGAGACACAGGAAGAAAACAUCAGGGACUCAUCUGAGAAGGAUCUAAAUGUGAGCUUGUCUUCCUUGGAGACACGGGAAGAAAAGAUCGAGGGAUCAUCUGAGAAGGAUCUAGCUGGGAGAUCACCUUCCUUGGAGACACAGGAAGAAAAAAUCGAGGGCACAGCCGGGAAGGAUCCACUUGAGAAAUCAUCUGCCUCGGAGGUAGAGGAAGGUAAGAUUGAGGCCUCAUCCGAGAAGGAUCCAGUUGGGCCAGAAAGAAAAGAUUGAGUGCUCACCUGGUAAUGAUCCAAUUGGG